ACUGUGAGACUGCGAACGGCUCAUUAUAUCAGUAAUAAUUUCUUCGGUAGUUUCUUUUAUAUGGAUACCUGCAGUAAUUCUGGAAAUAAUACAUGCUGUAAGAGCCCUGUAUGGGGCUGCACUUAUUAGAUUGAAGCCGAUUUUAUUGGUGAAUCAUGAUAAUUGAGCAGAUUGACUUUUUUGGUCGAUGAAUCGUUUGAGUUUCUGCCCCAUCAUUUGUCGACGGUGGUGUAUUGGACUACGGUGACUAUAACGGGUGACGGAAAGUUAGGGCUCGACUCCGGAAAGGGAGCCUGAAAAACGGCUACCACAUCCAAGGAUAGCAGCAGGCGCGUAAAUUACCCACUGUGGACUCCACGAGGUAGUGACGAGAAAUAUCGAUGCGAAGCGUGUAUGCGUUUUGCUAUCGGAAUGAGAGCAAUGUAAAACCCUCAUCGAGGAUCAACUGGAGGGCAAGUCUGGUGCCAGCAGCCGCGGUAAUUCCAGCUCCAGAAGCAUAUGCUAAAGUUGUUGCAGUUAAAAAGCUCGUAGUUGAAUUUCUGGCAUGGGCGACCGGUGCUUUCCCUGAAUGGGGAUUGAUUGUCUGUGUUGCCUUGGCCAUCUUUUUCUUUUCUUUUUGGGGGAGAAAUCUUUCACUGUAAUCAAAGCAGAGUGUUCCAAGCAGGUCGUAUGACCGGUAUGUUUAUUAUGGGAUGAUAAGAUAGGACUUGGGUGCUAUUUUGUUGGUUUGCACGCCUGAGUAAUGGUUAAUAGGAACAGUUGGGGGUAUUCGUAUUUAGGAGCUAGAGGUGAAAUUCUUGGAUUUCCGAAAGACGAACUAGAGCGAAGGCUUUUACCAAGCAUGUUUUCAUUAAUCAAAAACGAAAGUCUGGGGAUCGAAAAUGA
This 885-nucleotide ribosomal RNA is filed under the name Aurantiochytrium limacinum. Its description in RNAcentral is "SSU rRNA". It matches the Rfam family "Eukaryotic small subunit ribosomal RNA", at positions 78 to 1007 of the family's 1831-position model. Lineage: Eukaryota; Bigyra; Thraustochytrida; Thraustochytriidae. The record is from RNAcentral.